UUAAUCCUACGGGGCGCAGCAGUGGGGAAUAUUGCACAAUGGGCGCAAGCCUGAUGCGGCGACGCCGCGUGGGGGAUGAAGGCCUUCGGGUUGUAAACUCCUUUCGCUACCGACGAAGCCCUUUGGGGUGACGGUAGGUGGAGAAGAAGCACCGGCUAACUACGUGCCAGCAGCCGCGGUAAUACGUAGGGUGCGAGCGUUGUCCGGAUUUACUGGGCGUAAAGAGCUCGUAGGUGGUUUGUCGCGUCGUCUGUGGAAUUCCGGGGCUUAACUCCGGGCGUGCCGGCGAUACGGGCAUAACUUGG
This 305-nucleotide ribosomal RNA is filed under the name uncultured bacterium. RNAcentral's name for it is "bacterial SSU rRNA". It matches the Rfam family "Bacterial small subunit ribosomal RNA", at positions 333 to 645 of the family's 1533-position model. The record is from RNAcentral.